Small nuclear RNA from Phyllostomus discolor (pale spear-nosed bat), 107 nucleotides. NCBI's taxonomy places the organism in Eukaryota, Metazoa, Chordata, Mammalia, Chiroptera, Phyllostomidae. The record is from RefSeq and is a predicted model, not a curated record.
GUGCUCACCUCAGCAGCACAUGCCCGAAAGUUGGGACGAUACAGAGAAGGUUAUCACGGCCCCUGCAGGAGGAUGACAUGCGAGUUCUUGAAGGGUUCCAUAUUGUU